CUACGGGACGCACCAGUGGGGAAUCUUAGACAAUGGGGGAAACCCUGAUCUAGCCAUGCCGCGUGAGCGACGAUGGCCCUAGGGUUGUAAAGCUCUUUCAGCAGGGAAGAUAAUGACGGUACCUGCAGAAGAAGUCCCGGCUAACUCCGUGCCAGCAGCCGCGGUAAUACGGAGGGGGACUAGCGUUGUUCGGAAUUACUGGGCGUAAAGCGCGCGUAGGCGGAUUGUUAAGUCGGGGGUGAAAUCCCGGGGCUCAACCCCGGAACUGCCCUCGAUACUGGCAGUCUUGAGUUCGAGAGAGGUGAGUGGAAUUCCGAGUGUAGAGGUGAAAUUCGUAGAUAUUCGGAGGAACACCAGUGGCGAAGGCGGCUCACUGGCUCGAUACUGACGCUGAGGUGCGAAAGCGUGGGGAGCAAACAGGAUUAGAUACCCUCGUAGUC
RNAcentral lists this ribosomal RNA (440 nucleotides) under uncultured bacterium. RNAcentral's name for it is "partial 16S ribosomal RNA". It matches the Rfam family "Bacterial small subunit ribosomal RNA", at positions 339 to 795 of the family's 1533-position model. The record is from RNAcentral.